RNAcentral lists this ribosomal RNA (348 nucleotides) under uncultured rumen bacterium. RNAcentral's name for it is "partial 16S ribosomal RNA". The record is from RNAcentral.
UAUUCCCCACUGCUGCCUCCCGUAGGAGUCUGGGCCGUGUCUCAGUCCCAAUGUGGCCGUCCAACCUCUCAGUCCGGCUACUGAUCGUUGCCUUGGUGAGCCGUUACCUCACCAACCAGCUAAUCAGACGCGAGCUCAUCCUUAAGCGAUAAAUCUUUUAUAGCUGUAUCAUGCGAUACUACUAUCUUAUGCGGUAUUAUCAGUCGUUUCCAACUGCUAUCCCCCUCUUAAGGGCAGAUUGCUCACGUGUUACUCACCCGUCCGCCACUAAGUUAUUCAAAGCAAGCUCCGAAUAACCCCGUUCGACUUGCAUGUGUUAAGCGUGCCGCCAGCGUUCACCUGAGCCAA